Molecule: long non-coding RNA, 339 nt
Filed under: Mus spicilegus (steppe mouse)
Lineage: Eukaryota; Metazoa; Chordata; Mammalia; Rodentia; Muridae
Description: lncRNA (ENSMSIG00000017511.1)
Source: RNAcentral
UUUCUCUGUUGCAUCUAUAGAUGGCGGCCACUUUCUGACUGUACUGUAAGGCAGCUUCCUGAUCACAGCCGAGGAAGCAGGUGUCAUGGUGGCCCGGGAGUCACUCCUGAAACCUCGCUCAGCUCAGCGCCCAUAUCCGUGGCUUUCUUGGCAAAUUUUGUCCAGAGAGUUCCAAGCUGGGGUAGGCCUUCUGUAUACAGGCCCCCAGCAACGCUCAAGAAGUGCAUAUGUGAGCAGAGGGAAGGAACCUUCAAAGGGGUGUUCUGAGUGUUGAGGAGACGUGGGUUUUGAAGAAGGCCCCACUCUGCAACUUGGCUCUGCUGUCUGCGAGACUGAUUU